RNAcentral lists this ribosomal RNA (440 nucleotides) under uncultured bacterium. RNAcentral's name for it is "partial 16S ribosomal RNA". It matches the Rfam family "Bacterial small subunit ribosomal RNA", at positions 338 to 795 of the family's 1533-position model. The record is from RNAcentral.
CCUACGGGUGGCAGCAGUGGGGGAUAUUGCACAAUGGGGGAAACCCUGAUGCAGCGACGCCGCGUGUGGGAAGACGGUCCUCUGGAUUGUAACCCACUGUCCCCAGGGACGAAGAUGACGGUACCUGGGGAGGAAGCCCCGGCUUACUACGUGCCAGCAGCCGCGGUAAUACGUAGGGAGCAAGCGUUUUCCGGAAUUACUGGGUGUAAAGGGAGCGUAGGCGGGAUGGCAAGUUGGGUGUUAAAUCUACCGGCUCAACUGGUAGUCGCACGCGAAACUGCUAUUCUUGAGUGAAGGAGAGGCAGGCGGAAUUCCUAGUGUAGCGGUGAAAUGCGUAGAUAUUAGGAGGAACACCAGUGGCGAAGGCGGCCUGCUGGGCUUUUACUGACGCUGAGGCUCGAAAGUGUGGGGAGCAAACAGGAUUAGAUACCCUUGUAGUC